GGGAUCCGGUGUAACUGGCGACGAAGUGGGCACAACCACAAUGGAGCACCGGAACAAACGGCCGGUCGCCUGGGCAAAAGAG
RNAcentral lists this non-coding RNA (82 nucleotides) under Paenibacillus sp. Its description in RNAcentral is "ZTP sequence". It matches the Rfam family "ZMP/ZTP riboswitch aptamer (pfl RNA motif)". Rfam says of the family: Previously known as pfl RNA. ZMP is also known as AICAR. RNAcentral also lists the same sequence under 1 other name. The record is from RNAcentral. Lineage: Bacteria; Bacillati; Bacillota; Bacilli; Caryophanales; Paenibacillaceae.